GACGAACGCUGGCGGCGUGCUUAACACAUGCAAGUCGAGCGGUAAGGCCCUUUCGGGGUACGACGAGCGGCGAACGGGUGAGUAACACGUGGGUGACCUGCCCUCAGCUCUGGGAUAAGCCUGGGAAACUGGGUCUAAUACCGGAUAUGACUCCAUGACGCAUGUUGUGGGGUGGAAAGCCUUGUGCGGCUGAGGAUGGGCCCGCGGCCUAUCAGC
Molecule: ribosomal RNA, 216 nt
Filed under: uncultured bacterium
Lineage: Bacteria
Description: partial 16S ribosomal RNA
Rfam family: Bacterial small subunit ribosomal RNA
Source: RNAcentral